This 593-nucleotide ribosomal RNA is filed under the name uncultured crenarchaeote. Its description in RNAcentral is "bacterial SSU rRNA". It matches the Rfam family "Archaeal small subunit ribosomal RNA", at positions 309 to 903 of the family's 1478-position model. Lineage: Archaea; Thermoproteati; Thermoproteota. The record is from RNAcentral.
CACGAAUCCAGACCCUACGGGGUGCAGCAGGCGCGAAAACUUGACAAUGCGAGAAAUCGUGAUCAGGGAACUCCAAGUGGCUGGGGUAAGACCCAGUCUUUUCUUGACUCUACAAAGGUCUUGGAAUAAGGGGUGGGUAAGGACGGUGCCAGCCGCCGCGGUAAUACCGGCGCCUCAAGUGGUAGUCGCUUUUAUUGGGCCUAAAACGUCCGUAGCCGGUCUGAUACAUUCGUGGGUAAAUCAACUAGCUCAACUAGUUGAAUUCUGCGAGGACGGUCAGACUUGGGACCGGGAGAGGUGUGGGGUACGCUCAGGGUAGGGGUAAAAUCCUGUCAUCCUAAGCGGACCACCUGUUGCGAAGGCGCCACACUAGAACGGAUCCGACGGUCAGGGACGAAGCCUAGGGGCACGAACCGGAUUAGAUACCCGGGUAGUCCUAGGUGUAAACGCUGUGGACUUGAUGUUGGGGGCGCUCCGAGCGCUUCCAGUGUCGAAGCGAAGGUGAUAAGUCCACUGCCUGGGAAGUACGGUCGCAAGGCUGAAACUUAAAGGAAUUGGCGGGGGAGCACCGCAACCUGAGGAUUGUGCGGUUU